Molecule: ribosomal RNA, 262 nt
Filed under: uncultured archaeon
Lineage: Archaea
Description: partial 16S ribosomal RNA
Rfam family: Archaeal small subunit ribosomal RNA
Source: RNAcentral
CAGCCGUAAACUAUGCGCGUUAGGUGUAUCGGUGACCACGAGUCACCGAGGUGCCGAAGGGAAACCGUGAAACGUGCCGCCUGGGAAGUACGGUCGCAAGGCUGAAACUUAAAGGAAUUGGCGGGGGAGCACAACAACGGGUGGAGCCUGCGGUUUAAUUGGACUCAACGCCGGACAACUCACCGGGGACGACAGCAAUAUGUAGGCCAGGCUGAAGACCUUGCCUGAAUCGCUGAGAGGAGGUGCAUGGCGUAGACGUCCU